UGGGGAAUAUUGGACAAUGGGCGAAAGCCUGAUCCAGCAAUGCCGCGUGAGUGAAGAAGGCCUUAGGGUUGUAAAGCUCUUUUACCCGGGAUGAUAAUGACAGUACCGGGAGAAUAAGCUCCGGCUAACUCCGUGCCAGCAGCCGCGGUAAUACGGAGGGAGCUAGCGUUGUUCGGAAUCACUGGGCGUAAAGCGCACGUAGGCGGCUUUGUAAGUUAGAGGUGAAAGCCCGGGGCUCAACUCCGGAACUGCCUUUAAGACUGCAUCGCUUGAAUCUGGGAGAGGUAAGUGGAAUUCCGAGUGUAGAGGUGAAAUUCGUAGAUAUUCGGAAGAACACCAGUGGCGAAGGCGGCUUACUGGACCAGAAUUGACGCUGAGGUGCGAAAGCGUGGGGAGCAAACAGG
This 404-nucleotide ribosomal RNA is filed under the name uncultured bacterium. RNAcentral describes it as "bacterial SSU rRNA". It matches the Rfam family "Bacterial small subunit ribosomal RNA", at positions 355 to 776 of the family's 1533-position model. RNAcentral also lists the same sequence under 1 other name. The record is from RNAcentral.